UCAUCUUCGGGGGUAGAGCACUGUUUCGGCUAGGGGGUCAUCCCGACUUACCAACCCGAUGCAAACUACGAAUACCGAAGAAUGUUAUCACGGGAGACACACGGCGGGUGCUAACGUCCGUCGUGAAGAGGGAAACAACCCAGACCGCCAGCUAAGGUCCCAAAGUCAUGGUUAAGUGGGAAACGAUGUGGGAAGGCCCAGACAGCCAGGAUGUUGGCUUAGAAGCAGCCAUCAUUUAAAGAAAGCGUAAUAGCUCACUGGUCGAGUCGGCCUGCGCGGAAGAUGUAACGGGGCUAAACCAUGCACCGAAGCUGCGGCAGCGACACUAUGUGUUGUUGGGUAGGGGAGCGUUCUGUAAGCCGUUGAAGGUGGCCUGUGAGGGUUGCUGGAGGUAUCAGAAGUGCGAAUGCUGACAUAAGUAACGAUAAUGCGGGUGAAAAACCCGCACGCCGGAAGACCAAGGGUUCCUGUCCAACGUUAAUCGGGGCAGGGUGAGUCGACCCCUAAGGCGAGGCCGAAAGGCGUAGUCGAUGGGAAACAGGUUAAUAUUCCUGUACU
Molecule: ribosomal RNA, 558 nt
Filed under: Klebsiella michiganensis
Lineage: Bacteria; Pseudomonadati; Pseudomonadota; Gammaproteobacteria; Enterobacterales; Enterobacteriaceae
Description: partial 23S ribosomal RNA
Rfam family: Bacterial large subunit ribosomal RNA
Source: RNAcentral